UGGGGAAUAUUGGGCAAUGGGCGAAAGCCUGACCCAGCAACGCCGCGUGAAGGAUGAAGUAUUUCGGUAUGUAAACUUCGAAAGAAUAGGAAGAAUAAAUGACGGUACUAUUUGUAAGGUCCGGCUAACUACGUGCCAGCAGCCGCGGUAAUACGUAGGGACCAAGCGUUGUUCGGAUUUACUGGGCGUAAAGGGCGCGUAGGCGGUGUGUCAAGUCAGUUGUGAAAUCUCCGAGCUUAACUCGGAACGGUCAACUGAUACUGUCACACUAGAGUACAGAAGGGGCAAUCGGAAUUCUUGGUGUAGCGGUGAAAUGCGUAGAUAUCAAGAGGAACACCUGAGGCGAAGGCGGGUUGCUGGGCUGAUACUGACGCUGAGGCGCGAAAGCUAGGGUAGCAAACGGGAUUAGAUACCCCAGUAGUCCCUGAGCGGGCUGGCAAGGCG
Molecule: ribosomal RNA, 444 nt
Filed under: uncultured bacterium
Lineage: Bacteria
Description: bacterial SSU rRNA
Rfam family: Bacterial small subunit ribosomal RNA
Source: RNAcentral